AUAUUUAGACAAUAUACGUAUAGUGUCUUGAAAUAUGAAAUUUAUUUGUAUGAGGCUUAGAAACGGGGGAAAUGCGAGGUUCUACCGAGUAUUUCCCCUGUUUCGUGCCGAAUACAAAUAAAUUUCAUAUUUCAAGACACUAUACGUAUAUUGUUUUUAUACUGAAAUCGAUAAAAAAAUAAAAAAAAAUAAAAAAAAAUAUGUAACAAACAUUGUUAAAAAAAAAGUAUUUGGAAUUUCCCUCUUGGGGUACCAUUUUGAGGUAUUUCCCUAUGGGCGUAGUCCCGGCGGUAAGACAUUGACAUUUUAAGGAAUUAGAAAGGGAAAAUGAACUUAAUUAAUAACAUUUAAUAAACAUGGUAUAUAAAUUACCAAUUUGAAGACAUAACAAGUUUAAAUUCAUAAAAGUUUGACCAUUGUUACUACACGUUGUCAUGGUUGUGACGUGACGUUGUUGAUGAAAUACAGUAGUUCCGGUAAGUAGGCGGGGCUUAUAGGUUAGUUGAGGUCAUUGACGUAUAAAGCUAACGUUUAUACGUAUAGCUUUAUCUGUAUAGUAAAAUAGCUGAUUGCAGUAUAAAAGUUGUUAU
This 590-nucleotide long non-coding RNA is filed under the name Mytilus galloprovincialis (Mediterranean mussel). Lineage: Eukaryota; Metazoa; Mollusca; Bivalvia; Mytilida; Mytilidae. The record is from RNAcentral.